Molecule: ribosomal RNA, 254 nt
Filed under: uncultured bacterium
Lineage: Bacteria
Description: partial 16S ribosomal RNA
Rfam family: Bacterial small subunit ribosomal RNA
Source: RNAcentral
UACGGAGGGUGCAAGCAUUAAUCGGAUUUAUUGGGCGUAAAGGGCGCGUAGGCGGACAGAAAAGUCAGAUGUGAAAUCCUGGGGCUCAACCUCAGAACAGCAUAUGAAACUUUCUAUCUCAGAGGGUAGGCGGAGAAAAUGGAAUUCCACAAGUAGCGGUGAAAUGCGUAGAUAUGUGGAAGAACACCAGUGGCGAAGGCGGUUUUCUAGCUUAUACCUGACGCUGAGGCGCGAAAGCAAGGGGAUCAAACAGG